This 67-nucleotide transfer RNA is filed under the name Marmota monax (woodchuck). RNAcentral's name for it is "tRNA.Ala". Lineage: Eukaryota; Metazoa; Chordata; Mammalia; Rodentia; Sciuridae. The record is from RNAcentral.
GGUUGUGGCUCAGCGGUAGAGCGCUCGCCUAGCACGUGCGAGGCCCUGGGUUCCAUCCUUAGCACCA